UUUUUAGAGGAUUUGAUCCUGGUCCAGGAUGAACGCUGGCGGUGUGGAUAAGGCAUGCAAGUCGAACGGAACUUAGACUGAACUUUUUCUGAAACAUGGAGAGUAGCAAUACGAUUUGUGUCGAUGAGUUUGGGAUGUCUUAGUUUAGUGGCGAACGAGUUAGUAACACCUUGGUACAUACCUCGAAGUCAGAAAUAACCAGUCGAAAGAUUGGGUAAUGUCUGAUAGUCUCGCAAGAGUAAAGGCGCAAGCCGCUUUGAGAUUGGCCUAGGCCCGAUCAGCUAGUUGGUGAGGUAAUGGCUCACCAAGGCUAUGACCGGUAGGAGGGGUGAGAGCCCGACCUCCAACGACGGAACUGAGACACGGUCCGUACUCCUACGGGAGGCAGCAGUCGAGAAUAUUCCACAAUGGGCGAAAGCCUGAUGGAGCGACACCGCGUGCAGGAUGAAGGCCUUCGGGUCGUAAACUGCGGUAGUUUGGGAAGAAGCGAGAUUCGCAAGGAUCUCGUUGACCGUACUAAACGGAAAGAGGUGGGUAACUACGUGCCAGCACCAGCGGUAAUACGUAGACCUCGAGCGUUAUCCGGAUUUAUUGGGCGUAAAGAGCAUGUAGGAGGUUUGGUGCGUCUGUGGUUAAAGCCCGCUGCUCAACGGCGGAUCUGCUACGGAUACGAUCAAACUGGAGGGAGCUAGAGGCAAGUAGAACGCACGGUGUAGGGGUGAAAUCCGUUGAUAUCGUGCGGAAUACCAAAGGCGAAGGCAGCUUGCUGGGGCUUUCCUGACUCUGAGAUGCGAAAGCGUGGGGAGCAAAAAGGAUUAGAUACCCUUGUAGUCCACGCCCUAAACGAUGCCGAUUAGCUGUUCCUAGUAUCGACCCUAGGAGUGGCGAAGCUAACGCGUUAAAUCGGCCGCCUGGGAAGUACGAGCGCAAGCUUAAAACUCAAAGGAAUAGACGGGGACUCGCACAAG
RNAcentral lists this ribosomal RNA (968 nucleotides) under Anaplasmataceae bacterium. RNAcentral describes it as "Bacterial small subunit ribosomal RNA". It matches the Rfam family "Bacterial small subunit ribosomal RNA", at positions 1 to 929 of the family's 1533-position model. Lineage: Bacteria; Pseudomonadati; Pseudomonadota; Alphaproteobacteria; Rickettsiales; Anaplasmataceae. The record is from Rfam by way of RNAcentral.